This 436-nucleotide ribosomal RNA is filed under the name Acilius japonicus. RNAcentral describes it as "partial 16S ribosomal RNA". The record is from RNAcentral. Lineage: Eukaryota; Metazoa; Arthropoda; Insecta; Coleoptera; Dytiscidae.
GUCCUCUUGAAUUUAAUUUGAGGUUUAACCUGCCCACUGAAAUUUUAAAUGGCCGCAGUAAUUUGACUGUGCAAAGGUAGCAUAAUCAUUAGUUUUUUAAUUAAAAGCUUGUAUGAAGGGUUGGACGAGGUAAAAUCUGUCUUUAUUUAAUUUAAUUUAGAAUUUAAUUUUUAAGUUAAAAAGCUUAAAUUUUAUUAAAAGACGAGAAGACCCUAUAGAUCUUUAUAUUAUUUAUAAUAAUUUUAAUUUAGAAUUUUUUAUUUUUUAUUGUAAAUAUUUAUUUUAUUGGGGUAAUAAAAAGAUUAAAUAAAUUCUUUUUUUAAUUUACAUUGAUUUAUGAUUAUAUGAUCCAAUUAUUUUGAUUGAAAGAUUAAGUUACCUUAGGGAUAACAGCGUAAUUUUUUUAGAGAGUUCUUAUCGAUAAAAAAGUUUGCGA